UUCAGCUCUAGCAAUCUGGCAGAAAACUAGAAUGGAAAGAAUAGCAAAGUAUCAACAGGGCUUCCUCAUAGCGAAACACGGAAACGUCCUGCGUGAGGUUUCCCCGUUUUGGAAACGUUUUCGACACGAAAAUGGCGGGACACGGCGAGGAAACGUGUCGAGGCCGUUUCCGGAAUUUGUGAAAGUUGGACACUUGUGUCGCGGACAGGAAACGCGUUUCUAAGCUUAAAAACGCCGGACCAGCCGCGUCGCAGACAACGGCGUUUUAGAAGAAGAAGAAGAAGAAGGA
RNAcentral lists this unclassified non-coding RNA (289 nucleotides) under Hevea brasiliensis (rubber tree). Lineage: Eukaryota; Viridiplantae; Streptophyta; Magnoliopsida; Malpighiales; Euphorbiaceae. The record is from RNAcentral.